RNAcentral lists this unclassified non-coding RNA (378 nucleotides) under plant metagenome. RNAcentral's name for it is "partial contains 5.8S ribosomal RNA, internal transcribed spacer 2, and large subunit ribosomal RNA". The stretch from base 1 to 105 matches the Rfam family "5.8S ribosomal RNA", at positions 50 to 154 of the family's 154-position model. The record is from RNAcentral.
GAAAUGCGAUAAGUAAUGUGAAUUGCAGAAUUCAGUGAAUCAUCGAAUCUUUGAACGCACCUUGCGCUCCUUGGUAUUCCUUGGAGCAUGCCUGUUUGAGUAUCAUGAAAUCUUCAAAGUAAAUCAUUUGUUAACUCAAUUGGUUUCUACUUUGGUAUUGGAGGUCUUUGCAGCUUCACACCUGCUCCUCUUUGUUCAUUAGCUGGAUCUCAGUGUUAUGCUUGGUUCCACUCGGCGUGAUAAGUUAUCUAUCGCUGAGGACACUGUAAAAGGUGGCCAAGGUAAAUGCAGAUGAACCGCUUCUAAUAGUCCAUUGACUUGGACAAUACUUUUAUGAUCUGAUCUCAAAUCAGGUAGGACUACCCGCUGAACUUAAGC